GACGAACGCUGGCGGCGUGCUUAACACAUGCAAGUCGAACGGAAAGGCCCUGCUUUUGUGGGGUGCUCGAGUGGCGAACGGGUGAGUAACACGUGAGUAACCUGCCCUUGACUUUGGGAUAACUUCAGGAAACUGGGGCUAAUACCGGAUAGGAGCUCCUGCUGCAUGGUGGGGGUUGGAAAGUUUCGGCGGUUGGGGAUGGACUCGCGGCUUAUCAGCUUGUUGGUGGGGUAGUGGCUUACCAAGGCUUUGACGGGUAGCCGGCCUGAGAGGGUGACCGGCGACAUGGGGACUGAGAUACGGCCCAGACUCCUACGGGAGGAAGCAGUGGGGAAUAGUGCACAAUGGGCGGAAGCCUGAUGCAGCAACGCCGCGUGCGGGAUGACGGCCUUCGGGUUGUAAACAGAUUGGGCCUGUGACGAAGCGUGAGUGACGGUAAUGGGUAAAGAAGCACCGGCUAACUACGUG
This 468-nucleotide ribosomal RNA is filed under the name uncultured bacterium. Its description in RNAcentral is "partial 16S ribosomal RNA". It matches the Rfam family "Bacterial small subunit ribosomal RNA", at positions 28 to 507 of the family's 1533-position model. The record is from RNAcentral.